Molecule: long non-coding RNA, 616 nt
Organism: Carlito syrichta (Philippine tarsier)
Lineage: Eukaryota; Metazoa; Chordata; Mammalia; Primates; Tarsiidae
Exons: 2
Source: RefSeq, a predicted model, not a curated record
GCCUUUACCUGAAGAUUUCUAUCACUUCUGGAAGUUCUGUGAGGAACUUGAUCCUGAAAAGCCAGCUGAUGGUGAGCUGUCUGGAAACUUCCUUGGAACGACCUGUCCUUUCUGGUUGCUUCAUGGAGGACGAAAGGAGUAGGAACGUGGGCACAUCAGAGGGGAGUGCUUCGUGAGAUGCAGAGACUGCAGGGAGAGGAUUGGAAACUAGAGUUUAUUUUCGGGUUCUGUCCUUCUGACUUGGACAUUUUCGCUAGAAAGCACAAAGACGUGGAUUAUUUGAAGAUGUUUUGUUAAGGAGCAAUCUAGGCAUGAUGCCUCCAGUGUGAAUCAAGAAGAAUGGAGUUGUGGUGGGCUGGAGUUGGGCCUGUUUUGUCUUGAAGAUGACCACCUGAGGAACGCUUGCUGGUCAUGUAACUUGCUUCCCAAAGGGCACCACAUAAACUAGAAACCGCCCUAUUUCGGGGAUGUUGGCAAACAAGCUUGAGUUUUUCAGGGGAGAAUAGGGCUGUCUGAUCUUGGCAGGGUGGGUGAGGGGAGUUCUGUCCUACCGUGUCUUCUGCUAACAAAAACGAACAGGUAUUACAUGGGGCUGGUAUUCAGCAAUGCAUAUUAU